GGGUAACGGGGUGUUAGGGCACGACACCGGAGAGGGAGCCUGAGAAACGGCUACCACAUCCAAGGAUGGCAGCAGGCGCGCAAAUUACCCAACCCCGACACGGGGAGGUAGUGACAAUAAAUAACAAUACGGGGUUCUUUCGGAUCUCGUAAUUGGAAUGAGUACAAUUUAAAUCUCUUAACGAGGAACAAUUGGAGGGCAAGUCUGGUGCCAGCAGCCGCGGUAAUUCCAGCUCCAAUAGCGUAUAUUAAAGUUGUUGCAGUUAAAAAGCUCGUAGUUGAAUUUCGGGAUCAAAUUGUCGGUCGUGCCUCGGUACGUACUGGCGUUAUUGGUUCCUCCCUUCUGAAGAACCGCGAUGCCACUAAUUUGGUGUCGCGGGAAAUCGGGACUGUUACUUUGAAAAAAUUAGAGUGUUUAAAGCAGGCUCGCGCUUGAAUACAUUAGCAUGGAAUAAUGAAAUAGGACGUUUGAUUCUAUUUUGUUGGUUUCUAGGAUCGACGUAAUGAUUAAUAGGGAUAGUUGGGGGCAUUAGUAUUCAAUUGUCAGAGGUGAAAUUCUUGGAUUUAUUGAAGACUAACUACUGCGAAAGCAUUUGCCAAGGAUGUUUUCAUUAAUCAAGAACGAAAGUUAGGGGAUCGAAGACGAUCAGAUACC
This 654-nucleotide ribosomal RNA is filed under the name uncultured Glomus. Its description in RNAcentral is "SSU rRNA". It matches the Rfam family "Eukaryotic small subunit ribosomal RNA", at positions 357 to 1016 of the family's 1831-position model. The record is from RNAcentral. Lineage: Eukaryota; Fungi; Glomeromycota; Glomeromycetes; Glomerales; Glomeraceae.